RNAcentral lists this ribosomal RNA (497 nucleotides) under uncultured bacterium. RNAcentral's name for it is "partial 16S ribosomal RNA". It matches the Rfam family "Bacterial small subunit ribosomal RNA", at positions 28 to 507 of the family's 1533-position model. The record is from RNAcentral.
GAUGAACGCUGGCGGCGUGCCUAAUACAUGCAAGUCGAGCGGAAAGACGAGGCUUUUGCUCGGCUGACGUGAGGGGCGGGCGGGUGAGUCACACGUGUAUACCCUACCUAUAAGACUGAGAUAACUACGGGAAAGCGGAUCUAAUACCGGAUAAUAUAUUGAACCGCGGGGUUCAUUGGUGAGAUACGGUUUUGAUGUCACUACUAGGUGGUUCCUGGCCGCAUUGGGGAGUUGGUACGGUAACGGCCUACCAAGGCAACGAUGCGUGGCCGACCGGAGAGGGUGAUCGGCCACACUGGAACUGAGACACGGUCCAGACUCCUACGGGAGGCAGCAGUAGGGAAUCUUCGGCAAUGGGCGAAAGCCUGACGGAGCAACGCCGCGUGAGUGAUGAAGGUCUUCGGAUCGUAAAGCUCUGUUAUUAGGGAAGAACAACUGUGUAAGUAAAUAUGCACGUCUUGACGGUACCUAAUCAGAAAGCCACGGCUAACUACGUG